This 274-nucleotide ribosomal RNA is filed under the name uncultured bacterium. Its description in RNAcentral is "partial 16S ribosomal RNA". It matches the Rfam family "Bacterial small subunit ribosomal RNA", at positions 523 to 796 of the family's 1533-position model. The record is from RNAcentral.
AGACGGGGGGUGCUAGCGUUGUUCGGAAUUACAGGGCGUAAAGGGCGCGUAGGCGGCUCUGCGAGUCGGGCGUGAAAUCCCGGGGCUCAACCCCGGAACGGCGCUCGAUACUGCGGGGCUGGAGACCGGAAGAGGAGGGUGGAAUUCCCAGUGUAGAGGUGAAAUUCGUAGAUAUUGGGAGGAACACCGGUGGCGAAAGCGGCUCUCUGGUCCGGUUCUGACGCUGAGGCGCGAAAGCGUGGGGAGCAAACAGGAUUAGAAACCCUAGUAGUCC